ACGAACUAAAACAGUAAAUAUAUAUUAAAUAUGUUUUCAAUAUUUUAUAAAUACAAUUGAACAAGUUUCUUUCACUUUUCUUAAGAACAAUUUUCACUCUUCUUUAUCACAGCAUGGGCAUUGGGCACAUAAAUGUUGCACCUCUUCUGAUGACUUUAAUUUCUGUACAAACUGACAGGUGUACCCAGUGGUUGCAGGCUCUAUUGUCACACUGUGCCCAUUUUACAAAAGUCGUUUUAGAUAAGCCUUAAAAGAAAACAAGUAAAAAAAAUCACAACUAAGAAGAGGUCUGAAAACCAAUUUAAUAAAAAAAGCUUUGCCUUAAAUUUACUACGAUUUACUACUAUUUCCGAUAUGAAGCGCUGUCAAUAAAGUGUUAUGUUAAGAUCGUCUGCUUUACAUUUCAAUUUUUGUGGGAAUUUAAUAAAUAGGAC
Molecule: long non-coding RNA, 434 nt
Organism: Dreissena polymorpha
Lineage: Eukaryota; Metazoa; Mollusca; Bivalvia; Myida; Dreissenidae
Exons: 3
Source: RefSeq, a predicted model, not a curated record